GAUGAACGCUAGCGGCAGGCCUAACACAUGCAAGUCGAGGGGUAGCAGGAUUAAGCUUGCUUAAUUGCUGACGACCGGCGCACGGGUGCGUAACGCGUAUGCAACCUACCUUAUACUGGGGUAUAGCCCGGAGCAAUUCGGAUUAAUCCCCCAUAGUACUAAUGAAUAGCAUGGUUUAUUAGUUAAAGCAUUGCGGUAUAAGAUGGGCAUGCGUCCUAUUAGCUAGAUGGUUAGGUAACGUCUCACCAUGGCUACGAUAGGUAGGGGGCCUGAGAGGGUGGUCCCCCACACUGGUACUGAGACACGGACCAGACUCCUACGGGAGGCAGCAGUGAGGAAUAUUGGUCAAUGGGCGCAAGCCUGAACCAGCCAUGCCGCGUGCAGGAAGAAUGCCCUAUGGGUUGUAAACUGCUUUUAUUUGGGAAUAAACCUCUUUACGUGUAGAGAGCUGAAGGUACCAAAUGAAUAAGCACCGGCUAACUCCGUGCCAGCAGCCGCGGUAA
This 503-nucleotide ribosomal RNA is filed under the name uncultured bacterium. RNAcentral describes it as "partial 16S ribosomal RNA". It matches the Rfam family "Bacterial small subunit ribosomal RNA", at positions 28 to 523 of the family's 1533-position model. The record is from RNAcentral.